UUCACUUCUCUCGUUCUU
Molecule: small nuclear RNA, 18 nt
Filed under: Arabidopsis thaliana (thale cress)
Lineage: Eukaryota; Viridiplantae; Streptophyta; Magnoliopsida; Brassicales; Brassicaceae
Description: snRNA_01893
Source: RNAcentral